AGAGUUUGAUCCUGGCUCAGAACGAACGCUGGCGGCAGGCCUAACACAUGCAAGUCGAACGGGUGCCUUCGGGCACUAGUGGCGGACGGGUGAGUAACGCGUGGGAACGUGCCCUUUGGUUCGGAAUAGCCUCGGGAAACUGGGAGUAAUACCGGAUAAGCCCUUCGGGGGAAAGAUUUAUCGCCAAAGGAUCGGCCCGCGUUGGAUUAGGUAGUUGGUGGGGUAAUGGCCUACCAAGCCGACGAUCCAUAGCUGGUUUGAGAGGAUGAUCAGCCACACUGGGACUGAGACACGGCCCAGACUCCUACGGGAGGCAGCAGUGGGGAAUCUUAGACAAUGGGGGAAACCCUGAUCUAGCCAUGCCGCGUGAUCGAUGAAGGCCUUAGGGUUGUAAAGAUCUUUCAGUGGGGAAGAUAAUGACGGUACCCACAGAAGAAGCCCCGGCUAACCCCGUGCCAGCAGCCGCGGUAAUACGGAGGGGGCUAGCGUUGUUCGGAAUUACUGGGCGUAAAGCGCACGUAGGCGGACCGGAAAGUCAGAGGUGAAAUCCCAGGGCUCAACCUUGGAACUGCCUUUGAAACUCCUGGUCUUGAGGUCGAGAGAGGUGAGUGGAAUUCCGAGUGUAG
Molecule: ribosomal RNA, 626 nt
Filed under: uncultured bacterium
Lineage: Bacteria
Description: bacterial SSU rRNA
Rfam family: Bacterial small subunit ribosomal RNA
Source: RNAcentral